CAUGCAAGUCGAACGAGGAUAUAUCCUUCGGGAUAUAAGCCGAGUGGCACAAGGGUGAGCAAUGCAUAGAUUACCUACCUUUAGGAUAAGGACAACUUUGUGAAAACGGAGCUAAUACUUAAUAAUACAAAAGAAAAUAAUUUUCUUUUGUCAAAGGGAGGGUAGCAAUACCUUUCGCCUAGAGAGGGGUUUAUGUCCUAUCAGCUUGUUGGUGGGAUAAUAGCCUACCAAGGCGAAGACGGGUAGCCGGUUUAAGAGGAUGGUCGGCCACACUGGGACUGAGACACUGCCCAGACUUCUACGGAAGGCUGCAGUCGAGAAUCUUUCGCAAUGCCCGAAAGGGUGACGAAGCGACGCCGCGUGGGUGAAGAAGGCCUUCGGGUUGUAAAACCCUGUCAGGAGUUAUGAAAUGUGAAUGCGCUAAUAUCGUGUUUAUUUGACAAAGGCUCCAAAGGAAGCCACGGCUAACUCUGUACCAGCAGCCGCGGUAAUACAGAGGUGGCGAGCGUUGUUCGGAAUUAUUGGGCGUAAAGAGCACGUAGGUGGGUUUGCAAGUCAGAUGUGAAAGCCUUCUGUUCAACGGGAGAAUUGCAUCUGAAACUGCUAAUCUUGAGUAUAGGAGGGGAGAAUGGAACUUCUGGUGGAGCGGUGAAAUGCGUAGAUAUCAGAAGGAACGCCGGCGGCGAAAGCGAUUCUCUGGCCUAUUACUGACACUCAGUGUGCGAAAGCUAGGGGAGCAAACGGGAUUAGAUACCCCGGUAGUCCUAGCCGUAAACGAUGGGCACUAAGCAGAGGGGAUUACCUAUGUUCUCUCUGCCGUAGCUAACGCAUUAAGUGCCCCGCCUGGGGAGUACGGCCGCAAGGCUAAAACUCAAAAGAAUUGACGGGGGCUCGCACAAGCGGUGGAGCAUGUGGCUUAAUUCGAUGCAACGCGAAAAACCUUACCGGGGCUUGACAUGAUAGAAGUAGGAACCUGAAAGGGGGACGAACGGUAUCCAGUCCGUAGCUAUUACAGGUGUUGCAUGGCUGUCGUCAGCUCGUGUCGUGAGACGUUGGGUUAAGUCCCCUAACGAGCGAAACCCUUGUUUUUAGUUACCAGCGGGUUAUGCCGGGUACUCUAGAAAGACUGCCGUCGUCAAGACGGAGGAAGGUGGGGAUGACGUCAAGUCAUCAUGGCCCUUAUGCCCCGGGCUGCACACGUGCUACAAUGGUCGGUACAGACGGAAGCGAAGCCGAGAGGUGAAGCGAAUCCUAAAAAGCCGAUCUCAGUUCGGAUUGGAGGCUGAAAUUCGCCUCCAUGAAGUUGGAAUCGCUAGUAAUCGCGGAUCAGCAAUGUCGCGGUGAAUAUGUUCCCGAGCCUUGUACACACCGCCCGUCAAGCCACCCAAGCAGGAUGCACCCGAAAACAUUAUAUCUAACCAGGGCAACUUGGAGGAAAAUGUUGAAGGAGUGUUUUGUGAGGAGGACUAAGUCGUAACAAGGUAGUCGUAGGAGAACCUGCGGCUGGAUCACCUCCUUUCU
RNAcentral lists this ribosomal RNA (1521 nucleotides) under uncultured Planctomycetales bacterium. Its description in RNAcentral is "16S ribosomal RNA". It matches the Rfam family "Bacterial small subunit ribosomal RNA". Lineage: Bacteria; Pseudomonadati; Planctomycetota; Planctomycetia; Planctomycetales. The record is from RNAcentral.